GUGCACGCCACUGUGCGGCAAUAUCGCAUUCCAGCGGAAACACGUGGCUACUUAAUAUGCAGCCGCUCCUCACUGCUGCUGCUGUUGCUGCUGUUGUUGUUGUUGCUGCUGCUGCUGUUGCUGCUGCUGCUGCUGCUGUUGCUGCUGUUGUUGUUGUUGUUGUUGCUGCUGCUGCUGUUGUUGCUGCUGCUGUUGCUGUGAAGCUUCGAGGAGCUUUGUGUGUGUUUUCACCGCUGAAAAACGCACAAGAACUCAAUCGUGGCUUCCGGUCUCACUUCACAAGUUAGCAUUGAAGACUUUAUGCUAAGGCGUUAGCAUUUGGAGUUUGAACUUUCUCCAGAGUUUAUACACAAACGGACGGAUUAUUCAGCGGCAGGACACGAGAACAAGGCGAACAGACAUACAGUCGUGACUCCUGAGAUGACGACAUGACGCCAGCGAUGAAAAUAAACAACCCUGAACCUCUUUUGAACCUUCUGUCUUCUGAUGGGCGAUCUUCUUUCUUUUUUUUCCCUGGUGGCAGCGGAGCAAAGCAAUCGUUUCCACAUGGAUUGACAGGGAGGGAUUUACAGAUUUGCUGCUUUGACGACUCAUUCCACUGAAAUGACUGACGCGAGAAUCCUCGCAGCAUCGACCGAUCACUGGAAUCACAACUUCUUCUCUGACAGGAGCCGGACCUCCAUGCAUCAUCAAUUACUUGACUUCCUCUCGCUCGCAGCUCUCCAUGGAUCGUGGUCUGACAGUGAAACGCUCGACUGUGGGAGACGGCUGUCGAUACAGCUGAGCCUCAGACCAAAGCAGCCGCACUGAUCUAUGAAAUACAGGACGGACGUGCCCGGCGCGAGGCGUUUCCAUUUCCCUCACAGAGAGAGAAAAGGGCCGAUGGCGGGAUUCUAAUGAAGACGCCGGUAACCUUUUCAACAAUUCCAUCUGAACGUCGUCAGCAGCUGUGACUCACCUGCUUCACCUGCUGGGCUUUGUACUUGUUCAUGAAAUGACUUCCACUGCAACUUUCUUAAUACAUAUUUACAUAUAUACGUCUAUAGCAGCCUGACUAACAGAUGCCUUAAAUAUAAGCUUCAUCAAAAAGGAAGGUUUUAAAGGCCCUGCUAUACUGGUAUCAACGCGUGCAGACAUGUACCACAGUUUGAGAACCGUGGAUGACGCACUUUUAAAAACAGGAAAGAAGAAAAUUAAAAAAAUGUUUACUCAUGUGUUCCGAGUCAUAUUGUACUUUACUGGCGUCUCCUGUGACUUCCAAAUGUUGCUGUAUAUCACGAGAGGCAGCUGCUAAUCAGUGUUGAUCAUAAAUGAUAAAGUCAAACACUUAAUAUGCUGAUAUGUUCCCAAAACGCCGCAGGAUAAUGGAGGCAAACGAACCUUGUUGUGCUCUUGACAAAAGAUUGCUGGGAAAGUUAGAGAUUAAUUACUGGCAAUAAAUGUUACCUCGUAAAUUUGAUCAUGACCUUGCUCUGCACUUCCGUCUGGCAAGGAUCAGUGAUCUCAGCCACUUCUGUAGCAGCUCAGGUGUCACAUAAUGCUAAUCAUGACAUUACUGCCCGAGUUAUACGACGGUGAUCAACCGGAUCGAAUAAAUCAAAGAGUUUGACAGGAGUUACAGCCGCGAGUGUGUCGCGCAGUUUACGUUUCUGAAGAGCAGCACAAGUUUUAUGGCACUUUUCCAUGCUUUUUUUUUCCUUUUCCAUCAGGGAUAGUACCUGCUACCUGACAUGUAUAUUUCAGGCUGAAGUAGUUUUAAAAGAUUGACUCAUUUAAAGUGGGAAAAGAUUAUUAAUAUAACAUAUUUUUACUACAGUUUUGGGGAAAGUGACAUUUUCUGCCGCUAGGA
Solea solea (common sole) is the source of this 1849-nucleotide long non-coding RNA. RefSeq lists it as uncharacterized. The transcript has 4 exons. The record is from RefSeq and is a predicted model, not a curated record. Lineage: Eukaryota; Metazoa; Chordata; Actinopteri; Pleuronectiformes; Soleidae.